UUACGGCCAUAUCCCGUUGAAACACCAGUUUCCGUACGAUCACCGAAGUUAAGCAAAGUAGAGACUGGUCAGUAUUUAGAUUGGUGACCGCUUGGGAAUACCAGGUGCUGUAAG
Non-coding RNA from Acanthosepion pharaonis, 114 nucleotides. The record is from the annotation of a GenBank genome assembly. Lineage: Eukaryota; Metazoa; Mollusca; Cephalopoda; Sepiida; Sepiidae.